Molecule: transfer RNA, 117 nt
Filed under: Elizabethkingia meningoseptica
Lineage: Bacteria; Pseudomonadati; Bacteroidota; Flavobacteriia; Flavobacteriales; Weeksellaceae
Description: tRNA-OTHER
Rfam family: tRNA
About the family: Transfer RNA (tRNA) molecules are approximately 80 nucleotides in length. Their secondary structure includes four short double-helical elements and three loops (D, anti-codon, and T loops).
Source: RNAcentral
GGAAUAGUGGCGGAAUUGGUAGACGCGCCUGUAUAGUGACAGGCAGAUGUAAUGGGUUCGAGACCCUUAACCGACUGGAUAGGUUACACAAUACAGGUUCGACUCCUGUCUAUUCCA